AACGAACGCUGGCGGCAGGCCUCAAACAUGCAAGUCUAGGGGGUGUAGCAAUACAUCACCGGCGGACGGGUGCGUAACACGUGGGAAUAUACCUUUUGGUUCGGAACAACGCAGGGAAACUUGCGCUAAUACCGAAUGUGCCCUUACGGGGAAAGAUUUAUCGCCAAAGGAUUAGCCCGCGUAGGAUUAGCUAGUUGGUGAGGUAAUGGCUCACCAAGGCUCCGAUCCUUAGCUGUUCUGAGAGGAAGAUCAGCCACACUGGGACUGAGACACGGCCCAAACUCCUACGGGAGGCAGCAGUGGGGAAUAUUGGACAAUGGGCGAAAGCCUGAUCCAGCCAUGCCGCGUGAGUGAUGAAGGCCCUAGGGUUGUAAAGCUCUUUUGUGCGGGAAGAUAAUGACGGUACCGCAAGAAUAAGCCCCGGCUAACUUCGUGCCAGCAGCCGCGGUAAU
RNAcentral lists this ribosomal RNA (452 nucleotides) under uncultured bacterium. Its description in RNAcentral is "bacterial SSU rRNA". It matches the Rfam family "Bacterial small subunit ribosomal RNA", at positions 29 to 524 of the family's 1533-position model. The record is from RNAcentral.